GUCCCAGUAGCUCAGCGGAUAGAGCGCUUCCCUGCGGAGGAAGAGGCCGAGCGUUCAAAUCGCUCCUGGGAUA
This 73-nucleotide transfer RNA is filed under the name Chloroflexi bacterium HGW-Chloroflexi-1. RNAcentral describes it as "tRNA-Arg". It matches the Rfam family "tRNA". From Rfam's summary of the family: Transfer RNA (tRNA) molecules are approximately 80 nucleotides in length. Their secondary structure includes four short double-helical elements and three loops (D, anti-codon, and T loops). The record is from RNAcentral. Lineage: Bacteria; Bacillati; Chloroflexota.